AACAAAAUUAACUGUUUUAUUCAGCUUUUGAUGUUGUGUUUCAAUAUCUCUAUAAAUCUAGCCUCGAUAUUGAGGAUUUUUUAACAUACUUUUUUUUACAUGAUUUUGGGGGGAAUAAUACAAAGCCUACACAUAAUAUGGCCAAUUCUAAUUAGUAUGUCAUUACAUCUAAUUAAAUUUGACCUGCCUUUAAACGAUGAGAGUGAUUAGCCUACAUUUGAUUAGGUGUAUGAAUAAACAUACUGUACCUUGUAGGAAAUGUUCAAUAAACAGGUUUUGCAAUUUUGGGGGCAAAACAAAACAAAAAAUACUUCAUUUCAAAUGAACAAGAUAAAAUCAUCUUUGGCAAGUAUUCAUAACAUAUUAGAGUCAAUUAUUUAAACCACAGUACAAAGAAUUUCAGCUUGGCCAAUGUUCAGGAGGUUUUUGUACGAGCAGUAAUAGGAAUUGUAUCACUGUGGGUCACUUUUGGUAGCGGCACCAGACUAGAUGUUGGAAGUAACAGAGUCCCCAUCCUCACCGUCCUGCCCCCCUCUAGUGAGGAGCUGUCCAGUACAACAACAGCCACACUGACGUGUCUGGCCAACAAGGGCUUCCCCUCAGACUGGACCAUGAGCUGGAAUGUGGACGGGACCAGCAAGAAGCAGGAGGCCAGUCCCAGGGUCCAGGAGAAGGAUGGCCUGUACAGCUGGAGCAGCACACUGACUCUCACUGCCCAGGAGUGGACCAAGGCAGGAGAGGUGACCUGUGUAGCCCAGCAGAAAUCCCAGACUCCAGUCACCAAGACCCUGAGGAGGGCUGACUGUUCUGGGUAGGACCCCUCAGUCACACACCCCUGUGGAGAGAGGAUACUGGUUCCUCUGCUUUAACUUGCUUUGUUCUAAAAUCAGUCGCUCUUCAAUAUAGUGAUCACUCUGGUGUAGACUAACAGGGGGCUUGGCUUGAGUUCAUGUGUCAAUCCAUUCUGUAGAUUGAAAUGUUGUUAGUUUUAGAUUUGAUGUGAUCUGCUUUUAUUCACUGUCAUGUUUGCUUUAAUGCUUCGAUUGUGUGAUAAUGGAUUAAAAUAAAGAUUUCUUUUUGGAA
Molecule: long non-coding RNA, 1083 nt
Organism: Coregonus clupeaformis (lake whitefish)
Lineage: Eukaryota; Metazoa; Chordata; Actinopteri; Salmoniformes; Salmonidae
Exons: 2
Source: RefSeq, a predicted model, not a curated record